This 253-nucleotide ribosomal RNA is filed under the name uncultured bacterium. Its description in RNAcentral is "partial 16S ribosomal RNA". It matches the Rfam family "Bacterial small subunit ribosomal RNA", at positions 524 to 776 of the family's 1533-position model. The record is from RNAcentral.
GACAGAGGGUGCGAACGUUGUUCGGAAUUACUGGGCGUAAAGCGCGUGUAGGCGGCAACGCAAGUCGGGCGUGAAAUCCCACGGCUCAACCGUGGAAGUGCACUCGAAACUGCGUAGCUAGGGUCCUGGAGAGGAAGGUGGAAUGCUUGGUGUAGAGGUGAAAUUCGUAGAUAUCAAGCGGAACACCGGUGGCGAAGGCGGCCUUCUGGACAGUGACUGACGCUGAGACGCGAAAGCGUGGGGAGCAAACAGG